Molecule: long non-coding RNA, 389 nt
Filed under: Gallus gallus (chicken)
Lineage: Eukaryota; Metazoa; Chordata; Aves; Galliformes; Phasianidae
Description: long non-coding RNA NONGGAT011731
Source: RNAcentral
CUUUGGCCUGCAGCAUCACCUCCCAGAGCUAUGUGUUAGAUCCAUCUCAGGUCUGUGGAUUUGGCAAUAGUACUCCACAUAGGCAGAUGAGAAGACAACCCCUUAUCUGAAAUGGCUCACCACUGUUGUUCUACAGACUGGGUCUGAAUGCCUAUUCUGAUGUCACCCACUGUGCGUUGCUGCUGGGAGUCAAAACACUGGACCGGGCUCAGGGCUGCUCACUUGUUGGCAUGAAAGAUUGUUUUCCUUAACAAGUGUUUCAAAGUCCAGAGCUGAACUCAGGAGAUGUGGCUAUUUGGUUCAUUCUGAAGAGUGAAAUGGAUGACUGUUGCAGGCUGGCUGAGUCUGUGUGCCUCAUCACUGCCCAAUGAGAGAAGCACAGAAUUGCG